RNAcentral lists this ribosomal RNA (252 nucleotides) under uncultured Flavobacterium sp. RNAcentral's name for it is "partial 16S ribosomal RNA". It matches the Rfam family "Bacterial small subunit ribosomal RNA", at positions 526 to 777 of the family's 1533-position model. The record is from RNAcentral. Lineage: Bacteria; Pseudomonadati; Bacteroidota; Flavobacteriia; Flavobacteriales; Flavobacteriaceae.
CGGAGGAUCCAAGCGUUAUCCGGAAUCAUUGGGUUUAAAGGGUCCGUAGGCGGUUUUAUAAGUCAGUGGUGAAAUCCGGCAGCUUAACUGUCGAACUGCCAUUGAUACUGUAGAACUUGAAUUAUUGUGAAGUAACUAGAAUAUGUAGUGUAGCGGUGAAAUGCUUAGAUAUUACAUGGAAUACCAAUUGCGAAGGCAGGUUACUAACAAUACAUUGACGCUGAUGGACGAAAGCGUGGGGAGCGAACAGGA